UACGGAGGGUGCAAGCGUUAAUCGGAAUUACUGGGCGUAAAGCGUGCGCAGGCGGUUAUAUAAGACAGUUGUGAAAUCCCCGGGCUCAACCUGGGAACUGCAUCUGUGACUGUAUAGCUAGAGUACGGUAGAGGGGGAUGGAAUUCCGCGUGUAGCAGUGAAAUGCGUAGAUAUGCGGAGGAACACCGAUGGCGAAGGCAAUCCCCUGGACCUGUACUGACGCUCAUGCACGAAAGCGUGGGGAGCAAACAGG
Molecule: ribosomal RNA, 253 nt
Filed under: uncultured bacterium
Lineage: Bacteria
Description: partial 16S ribosomal RNA
Rfam family: Bacterial small subunit ribosomal RNA
Source: RNAcentral